GGCGCUGUGUGUGCUUAGGGCUCGGCGCCCUCUGCCUGCAUCCCCUCUGAGCUCCCCCAGGGAUGGGAAUCCCAGCUCUGUCAGUGCAUCACCACCUUCUGGAGAAGAAAUGUAGCCCAAUACCCGACCUAAACCUCCCCUGUUAGAAAUAAAGCCACUACCUCUCUUAUCAAUAUUGGCGGACACGAGGUUUCCAUAAUAGUUAAGAGCUUUCAACGUUACACGGGUUUGUUAACUCUUUGCUUCCUUCCAGGAUGCUUUAUAACGAAAACGUCACCUAUGUGUUGCACCAGCUGUUGCAGUUGCAGAAAGUCUUUCCUGAAUUUAUAUUGAGCAUAGCAGCAAAGAGAAUAAUGGUACCAUGAAAAUUCCAUGGAUGUGUUUUGUUUGAACGCAGCUGAGGCUUUCUGUUUACACCAAGUGAUGUGGUUCUCUGAUACGUCAUUAUUUUGGUAAAUUAGGAGUAUAACAACACUGUUUGUUGGAAACUCGGAGCUGAUAAGCUACAGCUUCUUGGCAGUGACUUUUCCAGAAAUGCAGAAGAAAUCUCCUAAUUCUGCAGUUUUUUUGUGACACGGCUGAUCAGAUCACAGAAAAUUUCUGGCUUACUUGGUACUGCAUGUAACAUUUGGACACAACUUUAACUUCUAACAAAAUUAUGCUGGGAGUGGUACCUAGUACUUCAGUCUCACUAAAUAUAUGGGCGUACCUUGUUGUCUACCAUCUUCCUUGAAGCCAGCAACAGUAACUCCUGGAUGUUGCAGUCUGGUAUACAAGAAAGAAAUUUUCUGUACUUGUCUAUUUGUGUCUUAAGAGGCAUGUUUUAAGGCUGCCUCCUCUUGUGGCUGAGGAUUGUAUUGUAUGUUUCACAGAGACACGCAAAAUCCUGUAUUUUCUUCAUUCUCUGUCAUCUUUGAAACUGCCCCAGCUGAAGACAGCUAUUGCAAUCACACAGUUAAUGUGAUGGAAAUAGAUCUACGCUGCCAACCGUGAUCUAAUGCCUUUGCUGAACUAUGCUGAUUUAUCACCUCUGUCGCCACACUCAGCUCUGACUGAUUACACAGCAUGUAGUUUGGGAAGGAUGGAAUUGGAAAGCCAGCACAUUCUCUAGCGACCAAAACUGACUCAAUGCCCCAACUAGUAACAAUGACCUUUCCAUGGAAUCAUCUCUCUCUUAGCAUUACCUCUCAGUUCUUGGAAAAAGAUUGACCGAAAGGAGGAGCUGAGCAACAGCCGUGUCAUUUCAUGAGUAACCAUUUGAAAAUAACUAAGAAUCACUCAGCAUUCCUCGGAGAAUCUUCCUUCAAAUUGACACCUGCCUUAAAAUCACAGAUCUAACAGACCAUUCUGACACACGUGGUUUUCUUACCGUGCACCUUCAUGCAAAAUUCAAGAGCAAGCUUCGCUGUUAUUAAAUUAUGUAUGUUCAGAGGAAGACUAUCCUUCAGCAGUCUUUGAUCUGUAUUUCUGGUCUGGUAUCAUCUGAAGAAUAAUUUACAGUCUGUCUUAAGUGCAGACGUAACCAGAGAUUAAUCAAGUGCAUUUUGUUUAACUGUAGUCU
Molecule: long non-coding RNA, 1561 nt
Organism: Lagopus leucura (white-tailed ptarmigan)
Lineage: Eukaryota; Metazoa; Chordata; Aves; Galliformes; Phasianidae
Exons: 4
Source: RefSeq, a predicted model, not a curated record